Long non-coding RNA from Metopolophium dirhodum (rose-grain aphid), 808 nucleotides. RefSeq lists it as uncharacterized. Lineage: Eukaryota; Metazoa; Arthropoda; Insecta; Hemiptera; Aphididae. The transcript is spliced from 3 exons. The record is from RefSeq and is a predicted model, not a curated record.
GUCACUAUUCUCUAUUUUAUUAUACCGUAUACGUCUGUGUAAGUGUUAUAGCACAAUACGUCUUGUUAAUGUUUAUGAAUAUUGUUAAAUUAUGUAAACUAUAUUGUGUCGUCGGUUUUUAAAUUUUUUUACUAACCACCCAGCUACGACGCACGUGUUGACGUAACGUACCACGUACAUCAAAAAAGUUUAGUUGUGCAGGUGCAUUUUCGCAAAUUUAGAAUCGGUCAAAAGAAGCUUAGAAUAUAAAAUCACAGAAGAGGCCAAACAAACAAGGCACUUAUUUGCAUCCCACAAUAAUAUAGGAGAUAUUAACAAAAUCACGCAAGAAGAAAACUUAGAUCACAUGCCCAAAUUAAACUUAGAAGAUUUCCAACAGUUUGAUAAUGAAUUAAAACAUAACUUGAAGUUAAUAAAAAAGCUGGUAGAAUUACUACUGAAACUGCACAGUUUUAUUUGCUUUGUAAAUCUAUUUUUUAUUUUUUAGAAAUGUUUUAUGUUGAUCACCAUUAAAAGUGGAGAUAAAUUAUCUGAAAGUUUAAAAGCAGUUAUUCCGAGAAUAAUUUCGAAGGAAGUACAAUUAUUAUAAUAAUUAUAGUGCUUUUGGAAGGGAAACUAAUGGAAGCAAGAAACUGAACUUUUCUAGGACACAAUCAUACUUAUUAGAAACCAUUACUACCAAAGACCCUAAUUUAAAACUAAAGGAUAUUUCAAGCCAACUAGCCGUUGGUUUUCGGGUGCUAAGGAUCGUGAAGGUGGGAAGAAAGAAAGGAUUUUUAAGAAAAUGAAACAGCCUUAGUAGAGAAGA